Fundulus heteroclitus (mummichog) is the source of this 1392-nucleotide long non-coding RNA. RefSeq lists it as uncharacterized. The record is from RefSeq and is a predicted model, not a curated record. The transcript is spliced from 3 exons. Lineage: Eukaryota; Metazoa; Chordata; Actinopteri; Cyprinodontiformes; Fundulidae.
UCCUAGUGGCGAUCUGCGGUACUACCGCUCUCUGGGGUUGAAGGCGGGACUAACCAAAUCAAAAUGGCGGCACCCAUAACUUUCAGGAUGUUAUGCUGGAGUAUUCUUGUCAUAUUUCGGCGUUUGCGGAGAGUUAGGUGAAGAAGGCAACCACCGGUGAACCUAUUUGAGAGAGUCGGAUUUUGGGGAGUUGAUGAUGAGACGAACGAACGUCUACUCCAGGUUUACAGACGUCGGAAACAACAACAGACGCUGAGGUUUAUCACGCUGCUAACCAGAAUCAUCUCCGGAAAUCGUGUGGCACGAACUGUUUGGACGCGAGAGCGGAGCGAACACUGGUGGCUGUAUAUUGUAAGAGAGACGUUCAACCCUCAGCAAUGGAUCGAAAACUUCAGAAUGAGCUACAGAACCUUCCAAUGGCUUUGUGAGUCGCUCAGGCCUUACAUCUCCAAGGAAGAAACCAGGAUGCGACGGCCUAUUCCUGUGGAGCAGAAAGUUGGUGCUGUCUUGUGGUUUCUGGGAACCACAUCAGACUAUCGCACCAUUGCUCACCUUUUUGGAAUAUCCAGAGCCUCACUGUGCAUCUUUGUCAAGGAUGUUUGUGAGGCAAUAUGUUAUCAUCUGACACCACAGUUUGUGAAGCUACCCACUGAUAUAGAGGCUACAAAUAUUAUGGAGUCAUUUAAAGAAAAAUGGGGAUACCCUAUUUGCAUAGGUGCUAUUGAUGGCUCACACAUACCCAUUGUCGCACCGAAUGAGAGCCGAGUAGAUUAUUUUAAUAGAAAGGGCUGGUAUAGCAUUAAUAUGCAAGCACUGGUAGAUGACAGGUACAUGUUUAGAGAUCUCUGUAUUGGAUGGCCAGGAAGCACUCAUGAUGCCCGUGUUUUAGUUAACUCCCAGCUCUACCAGCUUUGGGAAAAUGGUGUGUUCCCCCAUCUUCAAACAGAAAUCGAUGGUGUGAUGGUACCUCCCGUUAUACUUGGCGAUACUUGGUGGUAGAGAACGCUUUUGGGCGGCUAAAAGGGAGAUGGAGAAGGCUUUUGAAGCGAAUUGACAACAACACAUCAAAUGUUCCGAAUGUCAUAGCUGCCUGCUGUACCCUACAUAAUAUCUGUGAGACCCAAGGAGAGGAUUUCCUUGAUCAGUGGGCCAAUGAGGCAAAUCAGCCACCUAGUAACAAUGUGGUUGAUGGAGAAAAUCAUCCUGAUAUUGACAAUGCCCACGAUAUAAGAAAUGCUCUUUGUCGUUACUUUGCUAAUCAAAAUUAGCCAUACAUUGACUGAAGUAUUCCAUGUUUUGUACAUAGUUUAUUACAGUAUAGCUUCAGACAUGUUUUUGAAAUUACUGGUGUGGUGUGUAGUUUGAAAAACUUAAUAAAGAAAACAGAAACAA